RNAcentral lists this ribosomal RNA (254 nucleotides) under uncultured bacterium. RNAcentral's name for it is "partial 16S ribosomal RNA". It matches the Rfam family "Bacterial small subunit ribosomal RNA", at positions 524 to 776 of the family's 1533-position model. The record is from RNAcentral.
UACGGGGGGAGCAAGCGUUGUUCGGAUUUACUGGGCGUAAAGGGCGCGUAGGCGGUCAGCCCAAGUCAGUUGUGAAAUCUCCGGGCUUAACCCGGAAAGGUCAACUGAUACUGUGCGACUAGAGUGCGGAAGGGGCAACUGGAAUUCUCGGUGUAGCGGUGAAAUGCGUAGAUAUCGAGAGGAACACCAAAAGCGAAGGCAGUACACUGGCGCAUUCCUGACACUGAAACACGAAAGCGUGGGUAGCGAAUGGG